CUGCUUCUCCCUCUGUUCGAGAAUACUUGUCAUCAUAAUGGAUAAAAAUGAAUGUAUCUAGAACUAAAAUACAUUUAGAUACAUGCCCUCUUAUUUAUUUUGAUGACAAGUAUUUCCAGAUGGGGAGCACGUA
Triticum aestivum (bread wheat) is the source of this 133-nucleotide non-coding RNA. Lineage: Eukaryota; Viridiplantae; Streptophyta; Magnoliopsida; Poales; Poaceae. The record is from Rfam.